UUUAAAGGACAUAGAAAAAAACGCUAGACCAAUUUAGAACUGAGAGAGAAUCUCAACCUGAUAAAGGUUCCACCAGCAAGAUCAAGAGCAAACUACUUUGGUAAAGUAGUGGUGGAUAGAUCCUUCUGAGAACAUAGUACAUUUACUCAGAGCCACUCUGUACUUGUUUUACUGGGUUCCCUGCACAUGGGUACCGUUGCCUUCACGAUGUUCUUCCAGAAAGGGUUGUUUAAGAUACAAAACAUGAUUGUUUUUAAUAUAAUACUAACAGUACAUGAUUCCUAUCUGUGAUAGUUUGAAAUGUGCAGAAUUCAGAUGUACUAUCUACAUUUACAUUUGACAUAAUCGGUGAACAGGUAUUUAUACAGGUUUUUUUGUUGCUAGGCCUUUUGCUUUCUGUUGGGUCUGUCUGUCUUUUGAGUUUCUUCCCCUCCUGGUUGUCAGCUGGUCUAGUUGGGAUCUUCUUGCAAUUCCUACCACCUGCUGCUGAUCUUCUUGCCUCUACUCGCCUCCAGUAUUUAAGCACGGUCUGAUCUUCCAGUCUUUGCCAGUUUGUCAGUUACUCUUGUGGUAAUCUGCUUCCUGGCUGCUGUUCUUUUGAAUAGUAUUUUGUUGCGUAACUAUUAGUACUGGUAUUGCUGUCCAGGCUUUAACUUCCAGCCGUCUGCUUCUUCCCCAGUUUUAUUCUGUGUCCUGCUCCUCCGCCUUGACCAGUGCUUCUCCCUGCCUCGCCAGUUCCCGUCCGGAGCUCCAGCAUCCAGCCUCCCCAGUAUCAACCUCCAUCAACCUGUGUGUUAAAAUAAACUUCGGGACUGAAGUUCAGUCUGACUUGUGGAUCCAGUUCUUCGAUGUUUGUGCCAAAUUCGAAAAAAUUCCCUCCCUCCGAGAUAUUGUAUUUAUAGGUUCAGGAUAGAUGGAAAACACAAAGACCUAAUGCGUUGCUUUGUUUGGAGGUAACAUAAAAUGGUCCAAGAAGGAAUGCAUAAGUUUCUGAUAACAGGAGUUGAUCCUCAAAUCCAAUCCUUAAGACAGCCUUUCCAAACUCUUAUAUCCAAGAGAUCCAAUUUGUGUUGUGUGUUUAGACAUUGGCAAAAUAUUUGCAUGGGCUACUGUCGUAACGAGGUAUGUUUAAGUAACUAUGUAGCAGCACUAGUGAUAUACAAUUAAGCAACAGGGUAGCACUUGAUCUGAAAACCAUUCUGCUGUCAAGUUGGGGUGCCAAAGUCUUCCGUUGCACCACAUAGACUCAGCCACAGAGGAGGCUGCUAUACAUCGAGGAAGCCUGGCAGACUAUUUGUUUCGGUUUAUUUCCCUCCAAGAACUUUAUAUAAGUCAUAUAGUUAGUUAUAAAUCUUACACAGCCUGGUAUUCUUUUGGGUGGCAAGUAUUGUGUGAAAUUAUAUAGUGUUAAUGAGCUUGAGCUGAGAAAUAGGUUAAUCAAUUGGACAGCUAAUGACUUCUUCUUCCACAGUACACCUGAAAGGCUGACAUAAAACUCAAAAGUUCCUUUCUCUCUCCAUCCUUUAUCCUGGAAUAAAUUGUCAAACGCUUGGCCCUGUUGACUCCCAUUACUUGAUAGUUAACUAGGUCAUACAUGAUGGAAUCUCUCCAUUUAACCCCAGCUCCAAAGAAAGCCAGAUCGGAAUUAUUUUCACCUGAAGAGAUUUCAUUAGUUGUUGUGAAUGACUUUGGAAUUCCUUUCCUUCAUGUUGUUAAACAAUAAAGGGAACGUCGUGUUCUCAAGAUGUUUCUCAAUCUGACUGGAUUUAUAUGAAACUUCUUUCCUGUUGCCCUGGGUAUUUCCAAGGUGAGUAGCAGAAGCAAAUAAAUAUUUGAUUGAAUUUUUAAGAAAUUAAUCAUUUGAUGAAAAAGACACCCGUAUGACUUGAUAGUUAAAAUCUUUGUUUUCAUCUGAGGAGAAGUCACAGUUGGAGGGGAUGAACUGGAGCGUCUCUAUCCAAAGGAGGCUCAGCACUCAUUCCUACGACAACUCCAGUGUCCGGUGUGACGUGUAAACCAUGCUGUGGCUUCUCAGCAUGUAUGUUGGUAUGCACUCUGCCAAGUUACACUUUUGUUGUGUAUUCCUUAUUGGCAAUGUUUGUAUUUAUGUCCAUAUUGUUCAAUAAUACCUAUUUUUAAUGAAAGAUACCAUUAAAUUUACAUUUGGGGUGUUUUGAAGAUGUAUGAGGUACUUAAUCAUGGUCAGUGUAUUACGUACAGCAUGUUCGGAGAGACACUAGCAUCGGAGCAAAGCAAUGCACUGCUGUGAAGGGGGGCAGCAGACAGAUCUAUUUUCGGCACCUCAAAGAAUGACCCAUCGAAGAAAUAGACUCACUUUUAAGUGUAGCUGUAUUUAGAAUAUUUUCCAACAUGUAGCUAAACUGGAAGUAAAACAUAUCCGGGAUGUUUUCUCAACGGAGUCUUUCGGCCUUAAAAGCGGAAAACAUACAUUUCAUUUUCGUUCAGUUUCCCUUCAGAAAGGUCUGUCUGAGAGAAAAUAUAAAGCAGGGAAUAUAACCUGAAUAUAUUGUCCAUUUAAAAAGUAUGUUGAAUUUCAGGGGGGUAAAAUUGGGGUUACUGAUACAUGUGUCCACAGAGAGAUACUGCUUUGCUCUCGUAUCUGUACAUCAGCCCAUUUUGCAAUACUGGGGGCAUGCCAACUGCCUUUACUGUAGCACACACUGAAUAUUUAUAGUAAAGUACUUGGUGUUGAUAUGGUGUUGAACACCAUUUCAAGACACCCAAACUAUACCUUGAAGCAAAUGGAACCAAGUGCAGAUUGUUCUCCCUAAAAAUGAUCAUUUUGGAUUUGUUUUAGUGCACCAGCAAAUAAGAGGGUUAAACUGUACAACAGAGGUUUAAACUGUUUUUCUUUUAGCUUAACUUACAUAUUUUUAUUUGAGUAAUCUUAUUGAACAAUUUAUGCAAUUUAAGCUUUGUUUGAUGAGAAAUAUUGCUUUUUAACAAUUAUCAUGGUGCUCUACCUCGGUAUAAAGUAAACCACUGUCAUAAUAUUUAAAGCCUGUGUUACGUCUUAAAAGACCUUGCAAAUCCCAAACCUUUCUUCAAAGUACAGGUUCUCUAUAAACAAGGCUUUAAAUAUUAUUUAAAGCCUUGUUUAUAUAAUAUAUAUAAACAAUAUAAUAGGUAUAUAUUAUAUUUAAAUAAGGCAAGGUGAGUAAUCAUAUACAACUUGAAACAUGGUACUACUAUGUUUUACAUCCCCAGCCAUGGUAAAGUAUAUUACCAAUCCAGAAGACAAAAACACGGUUAGAUGUACGGAAAUACAGAGGGUAAAAUAAAAGAUAGUGACAAGAAGAGAUUGCAAGCUCCCCAGACCUAUUUAAUUAAUCACAAGUAGUAAUUAGUCCCAACACUGGUUUUAAAACAGAUGCUGGUGGGGGGAACCGCUGCAAUGACUCUACAAGAACCAUAAAUCAACCAGAGACCUUCUGGAAACAAUUAAACGGUCUCAGGACAUUGUCUUCACUUACAGUCUUUCCCACAUUAAGGAAGGCAACAAACUGGUCUCCUGUUGAGAUCAACCAGUGCAGCCAAGGGUGUGAAUGCAUGACUCCUACACCCGCUAAUGCAGCUAUAUUCACCGAAAUGACAAAGGACGAACUCAAGUGGAGACAUGUGCUAUUAGGUUCCAAAUAUCUAGCAAAAACCACACUGGAUCUAGCAAAAAGGGCAUCACACUUUAAAAAGCAUUCAAACCACAAGAACGAUAAUCCAGAUUGCUCAGUCCAUUAUGUCACACUGAGGACAAGCAGGUGUACAUCUUCCAGUGAUCAAACUGGAAGAGGGUUAGGGAACAUAGAGACAGGGGGAGCAAAACAACCACAUUUAAGGGUCUGGGGGCCCGGAUGAAGUGCAUAAAGCUUCAGACUAUCACAUGUCAGUCUGCUGAGGUUGGCCAACCAAGAAGUGGGAGAGGUGUUAAGGCCAACAAUAGGGCUGUCACAAUUUUAAAUUUGUGUUGUGCGAUUAUUGCACCAACAUUAAUUGUGAUAAACAAUAUUAUGGCAAUUUUCAGACCAUUUUAUGCCACUGAUAAAAUAAUGACAAUAUAAUAGCAUGGUAAUACAAGUGCGCUCUUUCAAUAUUUGAAAGAGCGCACUUUAUUUGUCGGAAUAUAUAGACAUUAGAAUCGGAAUGUGAAAAAACAUAUCCUAAAUAAAUAAAAUGUUUUUGGGCUGUUAUCCGGUUUGGAUAGUUUGAUUACCUUUUUUCUAGGGGUGUAACGAUUCAUUCACUGAAUCGAUUAAUCGAUUUAUAUUCCUGCCAUCCAACUGAAUUGAUCUGUGCUCCACAAAUCGGCAUUCCGGACGACAUAUAUUGAUUACAAAUCGAUUGAAAUGGUACAUAAUCGAUUGUAUCGAUACUUGGAAACUGCACAUUGGAUUUGAGUACAAAAACGGUAUGGAUGUGUGUGUGUGUGUGUGUUUGUUUUUUAGCACUUUAGACACGUUAAACGUUCAGAUUCUCGAUUCAGUCUGUCUGUCUGUGACGUCAUCAGUACGCAGCGGCAGCCGCGCGAAACAACAACAAAACACAGCGUGGGGGAGACGACUGCGAGCGAGACAUUUACAAACCAACUUAUCGAUCCAGCGUGUGGAAACAUUUUGGCUUUUGCAAACACGGAGGUGUUCUAAAUAAGUCGCUCGCUGUUUGUAGAAUAUGUAGAAGACAAAUAAAAAAACACGGAAACACGACGAAUCUUUCCGGCCAUCUACUAAGGCGCCGUGGGAUUAAACAACGCCGACAGUCAGGACCUCUAGCAGCGUUACCGCUGCAGCAGCAGCAGCAGGUAACUCCAGCUCUGCAGACACCUCAGGCCGCCAGCACUAAACUCAACAUCACAGUAACAAUUGCCAAGUUUAUCUGUAAAGACAUGCGACCCUACAAUGUGGUUGAAAAUCCGGGGUUCUGUGAAUUGAUCCAAACAUUUUUUUAAUUAUUGUGUAAUGUUUACAUUGAAAAUGAAAUUCUUCGCAUGAAUUGCGAUUCGAAUCGAAUCGUUGUUAAAAUGAAUUGUUACACCCCUAUUUUUUUCUCAUCUUGUGUUGCGUAGUUUUUCACAUAAUUAGUCGUAGACACACACACACUAUCUCACUAAUACCACACACAAACUAGACUCUUUAGUCCAAUAAGUCCACAACACACCUAAACAAUGAUGACAUCAAAGAGAGGAAGCAGAUGCGAAUAAUGGUUUGAUUAGUUAUUCAUGUAGUCUAUAUGUAGAGAAAGCCAGCAGGAGACAUCAAACGAGAUCUGGUGGACAGAUGGACACUGGCUGCUUGGAUGGACCCUCACCCGGGCUGACUGUUGGGAUCUACAGGUCGUGUCUCUCUGUCUAUCUGCCUCAAUCCUGCCUGCCCUCUGCCUACUCUCAUCAGAUCCCCUCCUCUCUCGUCUCUUUGUUACGUCAUAGUGCAGACUGUGGAAAAGGGAAAACAAAUCCAGGCAAACACAGAAAGUUGUGAGAGAAAUCUUCUCACUCAGGUGAAAAUCAAAGACAAGGAUCUUUGCCUGAGCUUUAGAGGAAAACAAGAUGAUUGGGAUGAGCAUUCAUGCAGCCUGCAGUGUGCACACCUUUUCCCCCACAUCCUGAGAGCAGAGGUCUUAUCCCCAUUUUUGGUAACCAGAUGGUGAGGGGACGAACAAAGGGAAAUACAUUUCUGGUUUACAAAUGCAAACUGAUAUUAUUCACACCUCAGUGGGGCCUAAGUUGCUCUCAAGACUUUGCACAAUUCAUAUUUAUGUGACACAAGGCCGUGCACUUUUUGGUCAUUAUCUGUUCUUAGGAAAUCAACAGACCAUAUGAAAUGUCUAACAUGACCUCGCUAUGCCUGCCACAGUUCCAAAUAACCAUAUCUCUCCAAAAAAUACUUAUGCCGCCGCCAUGCUAUCAACAGAGAAGGACUUACGACCCUACGACAAUCACUGGGAGGAAUGACAGCGAAGACAUGAUCAUGACAACAAUGUUGGUGUCAUUUUGCGUAAGCUCUAUGACUAUGUUUGGAGCGGGGAGAUUUUCUGAGCAGGGCGUUUGGCUUCAAGACGACAGUGUCAAACCAAUGGGUUUAGGGGAGGAGCCAGAAAGCUAAAAAAUACCAUAACGCACAUUUACUGAAUCCAACAUCUUGAGGUACGUUUCUACCCUCCACUCCACUUCAUGUAUUUUAUUUUUAAUUUUGUUUUAUCGAAGUUUCUAAUUACCUUCUAGAGUAAAUAUACAAUAUACUCAUGAUCCAGUAUUAUAAAGCAGUUCAUCAGAUAUCUGAAAUUAACUCAACUUUUACUCUUUGAAUAAUAGCUAUGGUUAUACAAUCACCUGUUUAUUUGACAUAUUGUAGCAUAUCCCUCCCGACAGAUCGUCUGACGCUUUACUGCUUGAUUGUACAAUUUAUUUUUUUAAAUCACACAAACAACCGUAAGGGAGGAGGCACUAAUACCGUAACUGUCCGUUAACUGACCACAGUUUUUUCUAUUCCUUUUCCAACUGACUUCCAUUUUUUACCUAAGCCCUGCCUUCAAAAUAAAUCAAACUCGAAACAGGAAAUGCACAACAAAAUCAUCUAAAAAACAUAUAAUAAAGGCCAAACGCAAAACCUUCUCCAAUACUCACAAACUCGGUUAGUUACAAAUAUGUUACAUGAAAAUAAAAAAUAUUCUGCAUGAUGUUUUUUUUAUCUUACUUUGGUACUUACAGAAUAUUUCAAGCUUUUUUACAUAUAUUUUGUACAAUUUUGAAACCAGGAGUACUUUCACAGUGUGGAAUUGUGUGUGAGAAAGUAUUUCAUAUAGGGCUGUCAAUAAAUGGAUAGAUAACUAAUUAAUUGCACAUUUUGAAAUUCAUAUUCUCGAUUAAUGGCUAUUAAUAAAAGUUGUUUAAUGAAUGUUUGUUUUAUUUCUAAAGACUUACUAUUAUAAAUAAUGAGUAAUCACACUAGAAAACGUGUAUUUUAGACACUGUUGUUUAAUUGUUUAUGUUUAACACAAAACUACACACAUUUGAUCAUCUUGGAGGCAGAAUUGAAAUUAAAUUGGAACAUGUCGAACUAGCAACUCUUCCAGCUAGCUUAAACAAACAGCUAGUUUAUCAUAGCGGUGCUUGUGUUUAACAUAUGGAGGAAUUUCUCUGCACAGUUCUCCGCUGUAUGUCGCCCCUGUUCGUUUUACUUCCAAUGCAAAGAAGCCACCGUCUUGCUUUCUCCGAUGUAACCGACUGCAGCAGGCGGCUGUUUUGUUUCCACUGUCAACAAAGCUACGCUAACUAAGCUAAAAUAUUUUGUUGCAUUAAUCACGUUUAUGUUGACAGCCCUAAUUUUAUAUGAGUAGCGUAGAUUCAGUUGCAACUUUUCAGCUCUCCCCCUCACCCGUCAACACAGCAGACACUGGCCGACUCCUCUCCUAACUGCCACGUGCUCGUCUGCUGGGGGAAAACACUUUGCACUUUCUGACAGCAACUGGCAGUGAAGGCCUCACAGCGCGUCACAGAAUCUUGACAUCGACGCAGAGAAAUCCUCAGGAACAUUUGUUGUUAAAUACUUGUUUGUGACAUUGCCGUCAUCGUGUAGAAAGUGAUUCCGUUGUGCGUUGCGACCAAACAAGUUGAUGAAGUAGGCCAACAUGACGCGGAUCAUUUUGAGGAUUUAGACUCAGGAAACCAGGAUCAAUGCAACCCUCUCUCACGGAGAGGGACGGUUUGAAAGAACCAAAUGUAACAACUGCUUCUUUUUCCAGAGUUACCAAACGGCAGCUCGCACACCAGCAAAAGCUUCAUGGAUUUGUUUGAUGCUGGUGUUACCAGGGUUUGAAAAUGUGUUACUGUUCAUAUGUAAAUUAAAUAAGGUGUAACAUUUUCCCUGUUUAACCAGGAAAAUAGUUCAUCUUUUCCUUAAUAGUCAAUCUUUGUCAUUCCAGGCACAGAUAUUUAUUUAAGUGAUCAUCUGUCUCUUUAUAGACGAUCUUUGUUUUCUCCACCGAUUGUUUUAAUGAAGGUAGUUAAGAGUAAGCAGAAAACCUAUGAUUCAUCAAAAAAUUAACAACUUUAAUUCGAAGCAUGCGCCAUUUAACGUUGGGGGUUUCGGGAAAGAUGAUAAAACCUUUGAACAUUUGAUAUCCUGGCUGUUUUUUUGGAUGGCUCCAUCACUGGAACCAGAAGUACUGUCCGGUCUGCCGCCACAUCUUCAUCGUCUUCAUCCAUCCACCACCAAGAGAACCCUCACAUCCGACCUCACAGUGCGCCUGGAGUCCAUUUGACUUGACAUUGGUUGUGGGUGGUAGGACUUUUUUUUUGGACGAUACAGCUUCUUUUAUACGUUUUUCCAGAUUGAACUCAUUUCUAAGAUCUCAGAGGUUUUCUUUAUUUUUUACAUUACCUGCUUGAACAUUCUUUUGAUGUGUGGAAUCUGGAUUGAAUUUGAAUAUCCCCCUAUAUUCUGCACUGUCUCUAAGCGAUAGUUGCAGGGGAGGGGGUCACUGGAAUGAGGGAACAGAGGCUCUCAACACAAGAUGGAUCUCAACACUGUGGAAAUGGAUUCUAAAGCCGCCAAUGGAAUUCUUUAGCUUCAACGUAUUUGACGAAAAGGAUGAACACAAGGUCGUUCCCAGCAUGAAAACUGAAGAUAGGCACAGAUAGUUUGUGUUGUGGCCUCCGUCUCGUCCCUGAAUCAGCACAUCACCAUACCUGUAGGCAGAGCAACAUGUCAAAGUCACAGCUGAGGUAAAAGUAAAUAUAGCACAACCAGUACGGAAAUAAAAGAGUUUAAUACAACUUUCUUGACGGUAACAACUUUUUUUCAGUUCUACACGUUGCAUCUGAACAUUGACGGGAACUUUAUUUAGCUUUUUUGUUUUUGCCAGAAGUGACGAUGCUGCAGGUGCAAAACAACUUCAACCUGUGCAGUAGUUUGAUGAGGAGCCAGGGGUCGUCGCUCAUUAAUGUUAAUUUAGUAAAAGACUGCCCCGAUUCAGAGAGUAAAGCUUUUGGGCAGGGCUAUCUUGAAGAGAGAAAGUGUGUUUUCAGUGGGUCGAAAAUAUAAAAAAUAAAAAAUAUCUCAUUCAAUGUUAGCCACAGAGAAGAGUUCUUUACAAGACAUGACAUAUGUACUAUAUUUUGGCAAAUUAACACAUUUCAAUGUUUGAUGUCAACCCAAUUCAAUCUAUUCUGAACAGCAACAAAUGCCAAAUUUGCCUCAGAGGGCUUUAAAAUCCGUACGCACAUCGGCACAGGAAAAGCAUCCCAGAACAAAAAGAAACCUUUAACAGGGAGAACAAAAAGAAGAAACCUUUGGAAGAGAGACAGGAGGAAUAGAGAAGUACAACAGAUGUCAUGUGCACAGAAUGAACAAUGUAAAAUGAAUGUUUAAUGAUUUAAGUUGAGUGACGCUUACUCAUAAACACAAAGCAUUUGUCCUUUUUCUAAAUGUGUGUAACACCACUCUUUAAUUAGCUUCUCGAGCUGUUGGUUAGCCUGCUUGUCAUCCACCUUCUCCCGUGGUGAUGCUGCGUUGCUUGCUGGAGGGAGACAGUAACACGCGCAGAGUGAAGUGAGGACACGCUGCCAAGGAAGCGCACUGCUCAGGGAACACACAUUUCUAAACACAAUUAAGGAUGACAUGAGUGGACAAGACAAAUGUAUUGAGGAGAUGAUGUAGUUAGCCAACCAAAGCAAAAGCCUUUGUUCUAUCACCUAGAAGAUGUAAGAUGUUACAUGGGAGAUGUUUGAUGCUCUUUGGAUGAUCUUUAUGAAUGUAUUCUGAUGAUGGAAUCUGGAUUAAAUAACUUAACAUCUUUUCUUUUAGUGCGUCAAUUGAAAUAAUAUGUACCAUCGACGUUUAUUGAUUUUAUGUAGUAAUUUGAACUAUUGCAGCGAUGUCUCCCUCAACCUCACUAGGUUGUCUUGUUGCCUGUGGUUUAUUUGUAUAUCGUGGAUAAAUGCAAACGUCUUCCAUAAGGCUGCAAUGCUAAUUCAAUCCGGAGAGACUUGUAGAAAUUUUAACAAUGCUUUAUUAUAAACAGGGUUAGAAUAGGCGCCACAUUUCCCAGGUCUUGAGCUGACCCGUGCUUGUAGGGUGGAGGUGUCCGUCCUCGAUGGGCCCGGAGUGGUUGGUGGAGAACACGUACUGGGUGUAGUGCUCUUCCUGUUACCCAGAGUAGCUCGUGCUAGUUCGGACUCCCGUUUUGCUUCGCCUUUGGUGUGUGCUGAAAUGAAAACUGACAGCAUCAAAGAGGAACAGUUUUUUAACGUUUGCCAGCACAGAUUCAAUUGGUUUACGUUAACGGCCCCCACGUCUGGUUGGCUGGUUUCACCCGUCCCUGAUCAGCUGCCCGUGCACCCACAGGGAGAGAGGAGGCCACCAGGGAACGGCACAGCCUGUCCAGUCUUCCUGACUGAUUUUUCGCCUAAGCUUCAUUGAUACUUGGCAUUACUGAAAGUGAAGGUAAUUAACGUCAAUUUCUCUCUUUUUUUAAGUGAGUCUGUCAUUUCAGAACGGCUUUAAAAGGAUGGCAGAAAGAGCAGAAAACGUGCUGGCAAAUCCAAUCGGGACGCUAACACAUAAUUAAUUCAGCAUUAUCCACAUCAUUAACUCUACAAGCCACGAGACCUAGAAAAUUGUACCUAAAAACAAGUUGGAGUUGGUUUUGGACUAAAUCUAUCACACAUGAUGAAUGGUGAUAAAACACACUCAGAGAUUGGAUUUAGGAUCUGACUCAUGUCAAUGGGUAUUACUCCAAUACCUGUCCCAGUGACACUUUUGGACGCCAUAUAUGCUAUUAGUUUUGGAAUUAAUGAAAGAUAUGCAGGGUCCGUUCCUAUAAAAAACGUAGAUAAAAGGAUAUAACUUACUUGUUGAUUAGCUGAGCGUUAACACCUUCCAUAUAAAAUUCAAUCAAAAAUCAAUCGUCAGCUAAUUCCCAUCUGUGGCCAUUCUGUACUUUGUACUCAAAGGUUGUUUUUAGCUGGAGUGUCCACUCCAUAAACCUAUCUGAGACAUUUCCUCAGGCUUUAUUGCCACAGCUUUCUGUGUACUGCAAAGUGUGCUUUGUCACUAUGGUGUCUCCCAUGUGGCAAUUACUCUCUUUGCCAGAGGGGAGAGACAAAACUUCCAUACUUCAACUAAAAAUGAAAACGAUGGCAAUUUGAUUAUUCAUAGUAAGGCUCCAGGAGUUCAUCCACUUGUGUGCUUCCACCCCCGCUAGUGUUUGAAACUUUUUCAGCUUGACUUGACAUUAAAUAGCUGUGAACACAAAUCCCUUCUCCAAUUGGUUCAAAUUCCCUUUAGGGUUGUGAAAGUGCCCUCAUGACCCCUUAAAUAGUCGGACUAGUUGUCAAGACCCCCCCCCCCCCCCCCAUUGAUGUGGCCCUGACUUUGCAAGUGCAUUUGGACCCUUCCUUUAUUAGUUGAUCCAGCUGUUAAACUAGUCCUUUUUUGUUCCACUAAUGUUUUCACCAAAGCAUUAGUCCGUGCUGCUUGAGUCUUUGCGAGGCAGGAAGAGCAGCCCUGCCUUACAUCCCGCUCCACAACAGGCUCCGCCUCUGACAAACAAGGGCAUUUGUUCAGCAUUCCGGGAGAUUCUGGGAGAUUCUCACUUGUCUGUGUGUGGUAAUCAUUGGACCGGGGUACCCAGUAAUUGGCAUUAGCCUGGGUCUCAGAUACCGAUCAGUACCCCGAAGGUUUGAGGCGUGUGUAUUCUUCAACGCCUGUGACACAAUCUAAGUUUGCAAUGGCUUAGUUCCACAACAACAAUAUUGUUGAAUUUAGAAAGGCGUGUACAUUUAAUUUGCGUGAGCAGAGUAUCAAUCUCUGGCACAUGGUGUCAACGGUAUGGGUAUUGAUUCAGUUUCUUUUCUCAUCUCAGAAGGUUACCAUGGGGCCCGUGUCUGUUCCGCAGCCCCACCCCCACUAUCCAUUAUGUUUCAGUUCAUGGAAAGUAUAACCAUGAAUAAUUUGAUAGGAUGUCCCUUUACAUGUUUUCAUCUUUGCUGAUUUUGAGCUUAGGCUUUAUGUUAAACCCCACCGUGCACAUAGCUCCACGCACACACACAAACAUGCCGGGGGGGCCGAGGCCCCCCCCCCCCCCAUCCCCUGCAGACAGACACAGCUGGUUGAUGCUGGGUGUUCCUCGUCACUUUCAGCGGCGACAUAAACUCCAUACCAAGUCCUGUUAACACAAGAUUUCACACCCAGAUGUGGAGGAGCUGCCAACGCUGUGCUUAGCGUGAGAAAACGCACACGCCUUAAACGCCACAAAAGCUCUUUCCCCCCACCGAAGGUCCAACUUCAUUCAGGACCAAAUAUCAGAAUAAUUUCUCCCAGCGCGUGCCUGUGUUUACCUCAUGUGGCUUAGCCAACCCUCAGAUUGCAUGUACCUUGCGGUUUUAUUACUGUGUGUGCGUGCGUGCGUGUGUGUGCACAUGUGAGUGUGAAGGAAAAUAAAUGGAAACACUCUGAAGGCACAGGUUGUUGUUUUUUUUCUCACACAUUCGAUGCGACCUGGAAUCUUCAAAGUUAUUGUUGUUAUUUUCUCUCCCCCUCCUCUCUGCUUCACUCAGCCUCUGGUAACACUGCUGCAUUGCCCAUCUUAAAACAAGUACCAGGCUUUUGAUGGAAUUUAGUCGAACUUCAGAUUAAACAUAAUAGAGAAACUACUGAUUAUUUUACAUCAUUUCAUGAUUCAACAAUCAGUUAGCUAUUUAAAAAGAAAUUUUGUAUCAAUCUGAUCUAUGUCUUAUUCUACUUCUUGUGUGACAAAAGAAUAAUGUUUAUGUGAGCAGAAUGCAAAAAGGGCAAAAGAGCGUGAUAAUGUGUAGAGCUAUGAUUUUGAAAAUCUGUAAUUGAUAAAGAAAUGCAUACAGUGAAAUACUUUAUGGCACCGCCACGUGGAUUGACGAAGAGAUAUACAAAAUCUGAAGUUACAAUAAAUGUACCAUCCAGUGUAAUACCUCAUUGCACCACCAUAUUCAGCGAAAGUCUCAAAAUAACUAGUUGAACACACCCGGAGACGUCUCCAGGGACGUGGACAUUGCCUUUCACGCCUUUUUCCGUUCAGUAUGUGUGCGCCCCCUGUUCAAGAUUCGGGGGUGGAACCGUUAACUACUUUGUGCUCUGUGUGUCUGAUUCUUAGCUGAGAUGUUCACUUUUUAGCACAAUGCUUUUUCUUUAUUAAAUACUUUUGGUUAUUACUUUUCAAUCCUUCAGUCCUUUAUUUGUGCAGAGUUUCUUCAUUUUUGAACAUGACAGUUUCAAUUGUAAAUGAUCUGUAUUAUUUACAAAUAAGUGCAAAGAGCAUACAAGUCAAUAAAAAUUAUGUAUUAUUAAAUAUAAUAAAACAUUCUGCCACAUAUGUAAGGCAAACUAAAGGUAAGGCGGCAUACCUAUGGUCUCAACAGUUUAGAGAAGUAGCCAUAUACUAUAUGCUUUCAACUGUAUAUCCUUAUUUUAACUUUAAGGACUAUAACAUUUUGUUACUCUGUCUAUUAAGUCAAAAAUCCUCUGCACUUGUAUUUGUUCAUUUUAAAUAACUUCCUUGCCAUAUCAAGGAUUCAAGGAUUUUCGUCUUAAUAGGAUUUGGAAAAAACUGUCCCUGCAUUCAUCUUCAGUAGACUAGACGUUUGUAACGGUGUGUUCAAAGGUCUGUGUGAAAAGUCAGGCAAUCAGAACACUGCAGCUGGAAUCCUAAAUAAGACUGAGGAUCACAUCAAUCCAGUUCUAAAGUCCUCAGACGGCUUCCUGUCCAACAGAGACUUGACUUUAAAAAUCCAGCUGUUGGUUUUAAAGCUCUAAAUGAUGUAGGCCCAAAAUGGCUGAUUUGCGGCUACCUUACAAACCAUCCUGAUCCCCCCUGGUUGUUUGGGACUGGUCUCCUUCCUGUUCCCGGAGUCAGAACCAAACAUAGAAGACAAACUCCCAGAGAGCAGCAAGUCAGUGAGGAGUGAGAAUCUCAGUGGAUUCAGAUUAAAGCUUAAAGACUUUGUGUCUGCCUUUAACUGACAAUUUACUACUGUACUUUUUUCGUAAAAAGCACUGCAACUUUUUCAUUGCACCUCAUUUAACUGACACUUUUAUCCAAAACAACUUACGUUGCAUUUUUGGUUUUACAUGUUUAACACAUUGGGAGUGGCGUGCAGCCAUAAGGGCGCAGUUAGGGGUUGGGUGACACUUUGGUUCCCGGCUCACCCUCUCUACUCCAGGCGCUAGCGUCGCCUGAAGUAUUGUAUUUUAUCUUAAGAGCAUUGAUUAAAACAUUAACAAACAUUGUAAAUGUCCUUUUCCUCCUCCUUAUGUUUUGAUGGUUUUAUGUGAAACACAUGUGGAAUGCCCUUAUGAUUCCAUCCAUCGUCAAACCGCUUAUUCUGCACAGCCAAAGGAUGUCUUUGGAGUGUAGGAGGAAGCCGGAGAACCCUGAGAGUACCCACGCAGACACGGGGAGAACAUGCAGACUCCACACAGAAAGGCCACUGGGCGGAAUCGAACCCAGGACCUUCUUGCUGUAAGGCGACAGUGCUAACCACCACGCCACCAUGCCGCCCUCCUUAUGGCUGAAAUGUGCUAUAGAAAUAAACUUGACUUAAUGAAACCAUACUAGAGGUGAUGACAGUAAGGUCAAGCUCUCUGUUUACUUGGGCUCUUGCUGCCGACACCUUUCCAGAAUCGUCUGCCUAUUCUGCUGUGGUUUGUGACAACUAAACGUGGAGGAGCAUAUGGUCAAUGUUAUUACCACUGAGCCAUUGACUGUCAUCUGAAGGACAUUUUGUCUCAUCAAGGGAUGGUAAUCCAAUGUAGCCCACAUAAAACCACUCACCUUGCUAUCGAUUUAAAAUGCAGUGAUAUUUCUUCAUCCUGGCUUUUGGAUGCGGGUAGACUGCGUAGUAUAUUAAAGGUUUCAGUGUAAAUCACAAAAGAUCUCUAUAGAUGCUGUGUAGCUCAUCAAUGUGAGCUGUUUACUGUGGCCACAGCCUGCCAGACUUUGUUGAUGACACUACAGCCCAGUUGUCUGUUAGGCAGGUUACAUGCUUGUAAUCGUCAAACUGCAUUCUGGGCUUUCACCCUGUGACCAUGGGAGUUUCUGCACUCCUCCGCUCGGUCUGAUUUAUGAACAAAGUCACAGUGAAUGAAGCAAGACUUUAAUCUCAGAGUCUUCCUUGUCCUACCUCGGUGAUGGUAUCCCUCCCAGGCGUGGAACCUUCACUGAUGAUGUCUUGUCCUGUUAAGAUGUGACAUGACUCCAGUUGAUAAGCUGGUUUCACACUGAUUUCAUAAGGAAAAGUAGGUACCGUAACUGCAUUUACUUGAAUAUUGUACUUACUCAAACAAUUUCUCUUAAAAUAUUUGACAUUUCAUCUCUCUACAUGUAUCAAACUCGUAUAUUAAUGUUGUUGAAUUUUACACCGUCACGAAGAAAAAUAGACGUUUUUUAAUCAAAUAAGGGCCAUCUCUACACCUGGGGAGGACCAUGUUAUCCUCAAAGUGAUUAAAUGCUCAUGAAAUCAUCAUGUUAAAGCAUCCAUUUGACACUGAUGUGAAUGAUAUGAAUGGGGUUUCAGCUAUCAGUUAGAUAUAAGUGUAAUGGUAAUGUAAUGUCAUGUAAGCCCAGUGUUCUUGAUAAAUAAUGAUCAUUAGGUCUUAGAGUGGGUGUUAGGUGGUCAUCAUUCAUUUCCAUUCUUUACCUGGACCUAGAAGCAAAACUGUGAAAUAUUUACUGCUACUCUGCCUUGGUACCACUCUGCAGAGAGGGUGAUCGGCUGCAAUCUGCCGUCCCUGCAGGACUUGUUCGCUUUUAGGUCUCUGAAGCGGCAGUCGGCAGUCGGGCUCAUCAACAGAGCCUGGUCCCCCACUGACUGACUCUGACAUUCCACCGGUCACUUUCUUUCAUACUGCACACGUCACUUUACUGUCAUUUUUCACUCGUCACUUUGUCACUUGUUCGCUAGUGCACUUUAUUUUUAAAUAUUUUGUAACUUUUUAAGUAUUUUUAAUUUUUAACUUUAACUUUAUUACCUUAUUUUAUACUAACCUAUAGCCUUAUUCUACUAACCCAUAGCAUUAGCAUUUCAUUUUAUUUCAUUACUUGUGCACUGCUGUCUUGUUGUCUAUUGUUACACUGUCUACUGUCACGCACCAACCGCCAAGUCAAAUUCCUUGUAUGUUUGACAUAUUUUGGCAAUAAAUGUUGAUAAAUGUUGAUUCCUGGCAAAAAUAAAUAUGAAUUCUCCCCACAGAAGAACAGGACACCGCCAGCUUGAUUUUUGCUAAACUAGAGGCGUUGUAUGACGAUAGAUUGCCUGUCUCGGAUCUGCGCUCAAUGUAUUUCAGGUGUACCCAAGAAGCCAGGGAAACAACAUGGGCUUUUGCCCUGUGACUAUAAGAGCUCUUCAAAAGACUGCAAAACUGAGAUCCACGGGGGGCUUGGUAGCGAAGAUGUGCUCUUGAGAGACCCAUUUGUGGAUGGCCUUCUUGACACUACCCUCAGACGGGAGUUACGCACAAAAUUGCUGUUGCAGGAAGACCUGACAUUUGCCACAGUAUUAACCCGUGUAGAAGUGUAUGUUGAGGAGGAUGUACUUGUUCGGACAUAUGCGGUACAUCAAACUAACCCCUUGGUUCAGCCUAGUGCUGCUUCAUGGCCAUAUCUUUCUGCUCAGCCGGGAAUUAUCCCCCAGGAAAACGUCUUAGAACACAUGAAAAGUGACCUGCGAAAAGAGUUGGUAGCGGAGUUCCGAGAGCAAUUUACGUCGCUAUCCCGGGAGCUUUGAUCCAGGAAGUACGAGGACAACAACAACUCAUCCCGAAAAGGCAAGAAAACCAUCAGAGAACCUCACACGAACCUCGCGCUACAACUCAUUCCAGCUGGGGCCGGAGAGAGGAACACGACGGCAACAGUCCACACGGACAGUGUGUCGGUAUAACGGUCCUCCUUACAAUCCCCAGCCAGACUUGGAAAAUGACUAACCAACAUGGAAAUUGUGGAUUUAGCCCUUGUGAAAAAUCAAAAGUAUCAUAAACUCGUUUGUGAUUUUACUAGCUAGUAUUUUACUAACUAGAAUAAGAAAAAUCAUAGUCGUAAGUAAAGACAGAGGUCAAAUGACUACAAUUCAGUACGAAAGGGGCAGAUUGUUCCUUCCCCGAAAAGGAACAGGAAGAUCUAAACAAGUUUCUGAGGGAGAACAGGAGCUUUCAUACAUCUCUGAGAGGUUCGAGGAAGAGGAAAACAGAAGACCCCAACAAAAGGCAGAUUAGUUGUAAACAGAUGUCGUUGGGAGACACCCAUGUCCCUCCCUUAAUGCGACCUAGUCAAUCAUAUUUGACAGACUAAGUGAACGGACGAGGAGAAGACCAGGAUACGGAUCAGUCCAGGCACCUAUCAAACAGGAUGCCAUCGUAAACGAGGUCAGGUCACGAUUUUCCCAAGAAAGGUCACACACCAAGUUCUUGAGACACUCACAAUAUGCAGCUCAACAAAUACUUCCCUGACUCCUAGGAGGGGUGAGUAGUAACACAAGGCAACAUGGAAAGUGGAGGAGAAACCCACCAGAGGAGGCCAGAAUGGACAACAGCAGAGAGGAUGCAGCAGAGGAGGCCAGAUCGGACCAUAGUCGAGAGGCCCGACAGCACCGACGCACCUGGGGAGUACGAUAAAGGGGAUUUGAACAGUUUAUUAUUGAAUAAACAUUGUCGAAGGGACUCAACAAAAAUUAAACCGGGAAGUAAGAUGUAACCGUUAGACACCACUUUGUUAAAACAAGGUCGAUAAAACGAAUAAAACCGCAUCUGCCAUAAUACAUUAACCACCUGUGGCCACCCACGGGCGCAGCACUCUGGACAGCGCCUCAAGAGAGCAGCACAAAGGGUAGGGGCAGCAAUGAGCAAGAGGUCAGGUGACCUGUUGGUGGGCAGCACGGUCGUCCUCAGAUCAGAGGGUUGUCGGUUCGAUCCCAGGCCCGCCUAACCCGCAUGUCGUUGUGUCCUUGGGCAAGACACUUAACCCAACAUUGCUCCUGUAGCUGCGACUACAGUGUGUGAAUCGUAGUUACUGAUGGCAGGUGUCACUGUGUGUGGUUCUCCUGUCAUCAGUGUAUGAAUGGGUGUGAAUGGGUGAAUGAUGUCAUGUAGUGUUAAAGCGCUUUGAGUGGUCGGAAGACUAGAAAAGCGCUAUACAAGUACAGGCCAUUUACCAAAAGGGGAAACACCCCGCCCCCUCAGGAGACAACGAGCGGCCCAGGUGCAGCUCAUAAGCUGAAGGUUGGCCACACUAUAAAAGACCAACCAUUCCAACAGCCCAGCAGACAAGACGUGAGUAGAAGCUGGCUUCAUGCCAGAGUUUGUUUGCAAGAGUGUUAAAGCCUGUUUGUUUUUUUGUGCCACCUGCAGGAAGGAGACUGAAGGCCGAACGAACCUGCUGAACCGCACCCUCAAAAGAGGAAGAACCUAAGUUUCCAUUUUUUUGUUACUUUGUACGUUAUAAUAAAUCGUACCCUUUUCUUGUGCAACUAGACGUGCUUCUGAGUCCGGUGAUUCCACCCACACCCGUUGGUUGCCACACACCACACAGAUUCAAAACAUCCAAACAAUAAAAAUGAAUAAUAAAAAGAAGUAAAAGCAUGCAGACACAACUCUAAAACAAAACAAAAUGGGGUCUAACAGUUACAAGUCCCAUGGAAUAUGUCCCGAUCGAAGUUGAGGGCCUUUUUGGUGCGCCAUCAUCUUGUCCCACCUCAGUGCCAUCACAGGAGAACAACCAAUGGGUCCCAAACUCCAGAAGCCAUACUGUAAUCGGGUAAGAGGGUGUUUUACUUUUCACACCAUGCAUUUAAGUGCCAGCACUGGUUGCCUUGCUGAACAUAUUAGUUUCAGCGCCCAUCUUUCAAUUCAAUCGCUGCUCUUGUGUGAAAGUCAAGUCCUGUUUAAACAUACCCUAGAGCAGCCUGUGGUCUGAAAUGCCCUUUUGCCAAGUGGUGUUUUAACUUACGACUCUUACUCUUUGCACCAAUUGCUUUCAUUUGAUCUUUGGAAAAUAUUGCAGAAAAUGUAUUUUCCAGGAUUAACUAGUUCUAGUAGGACUAGGAAAAAAAAAUGGCCGACACUGUCUCCAGAGCCGAUCCGAGCAAACGUGUCAUCCAACUGGUUGGCCUGAAUUAGUGCCGGAAUCGGCAGACUCAGUUUCUGGAGAAAUUGGUGAAAUUUCCACAGCUGUGUGUGGCUAUGGAUGGUGUUAUGAACCCAAACACAAGUGUUUGCAGUUCUAUUGUUUGUGUAAUUACCACAAGUACUAGCAGAAAGGGUUUAUUCUGCCUGGUGGAUAGCAGGAACAAUAACAAGCCACCUAGAUAAGCAACGCCCCCUUUCUGGCGCAAAUGAAAGGGAUGCGAAUGAAGUGAAUUAGAUGUCGGGAGGGUAAACUCGCGAGAUUAAAGCGUUGUGAAAAUUUGCUUCCUUUUGGUGUGGAUGCACCAUAAGAGUUCAGUGCCACUGACUAAGAUGCCUUAUGGGAUUCUUAUAGGUGACAGUGUAAUGCUUGAUGUGGGGUCGUUACCAGAAAGUGUUAUUCUCCCACUGCCGUGCAGGGUUCUUUCCCAGAGAUAAGAACCAAAAUGCAGAGUUCAAGUCAGCAAUGAUCACUGCAGCAGGCAGUUUUAGAGUCCUGUUUUACAUACCAAAGGAAGUAAAAAGUCUGCGUUGCCCAAUGGUGCCGUGGCUUUUGAAUGAAGGGGCCAUUUAGUAGGCAGUGGGUAGUUCGUGACAGAGUGCAGAGUUUCACUUACUGCGAUCCCAUCCGUACCCAGACCUAAAGAUAAAACAUAAAAAAAUUGAAAACCUGACGGGACAGUUCUAUUUCAACCGACGGUAGUAGUUUAAAGUACAGACCAAUUGCAUUCGAGUCAAGCCAUCCCACGUGGUACCACUCAACCACACAAUUCUGUCUAUUCCUGGAAAGGUGAUAUUGUCUCAACAGUGCAGACAGAUUAGAGAUAGCGGCAAAUCCCAAAUAUAAAUAUAAAGACGGUAGAAAGAAAAAGAAAGACUGAGUAAAAGACGGGUGAGACGGAGAAAGCAAGAGAGAGGGACGGGUGAGAAACAUAAGGAACAAAUGGUGCUCUCCAAAAUGUUGACAGCGAAAGUAGAGCUUUAAAUACAGAAAAUAUAGUCAUUUCUGGAUCACACUCCCCACUGGGAUGACUACUAAACACACUGUUGUGUUUAGAUUUAUUAUAUAAAUUAUAUAUUUAUUAUAUAUAAUUAGCUGAGGCUGUUGAGUCCAAAUUUGUAACAUAAAAGGAGAAUUCAAGGUUUUCUUCCCUUUAUUUUUUUCACAUUGUAUUCACAUUCUCUUAUUUUGAAUUGUAGCUCGACUUUUACUUAGUCAAUGAGAGAAAAUUACUUAUAUUUGUGGUAAUAUAUGUAUGUUUAGUUAUUUUUUUACGUGACAAUGCAGCUUUGAAUUGUACUGAAUUAAUUUGAUUUGUUAGUUGUGGAUUAAAUGCAGAUUGAAUGCAGAUGUUGAUACAACUCUGCUAUUCUUUCCAAAUUUAAUCACACUAAAUAGUUACAUUAUGAUCUUCUGGAUCUUCCUUACUUCUCUUCUUUACAUUUUAGUUGAAUACCUAGAGGAGUGACUCAUAUCAGACACUUAGCAGUGCUGCUUCAAUUUGGAUUAGAAUUAUUAUUUGUUAAUGUUCUUGUGGACUCUCCAACUGCGUGGACGUGCAAUGCAUCGUCACUGGAAUAGCCCUUUCAGUUAAAGGGAUGGAACCACUGUAAACCACAGUCCAGUGUCUGCUCUCCGUCCAUAGCUCCUUCGGCUGGGAAAUCCUCAGCUGCCAAACCAGAACUAAAGCAUAGGAUGGCAAGUGUGACAUGUGAUCAUCUCAGCUGUCAUUCCUAUCCGAAGCCAGACGUCACGCUGAAUUAUUACCAGCCUGGGAUUGUAUUCACUAAUAAAAUUCCAGCUGUGUUUAUUAAUUAUGACGGUAAUAUUAGGCAGUCUUGUUAAAUCUCCUCCCCCAAGAUUUCUUGUAAUUAGUAUCAUACCGUGUGAUUGAUUGUUGCCUUAAUGAUCCUUUGAUAGAUGGUUAAAUAGUUCAUUCUCACGGAUGAUGUUACGAAUAACAAUGACGAAAAUAAUUUAUUCCUGUCAUGUACAUUGUCGAUAACAUUCAAUGCAUAAUGUUUGCAACAAAUAAGACAACUACGUGGCAGCCAUCAGGGCUAUGUAGAGUGAUGAAGGCGUAUCUCCUGCCUCCAUCAUAGCUCUUUGAAUGUCUCUGCGUGACGGCCCCACUGCAAUGACAAACAGCCCUGCUGCUGAAAUGUGAAAAGUGUAAUCCAGGCCGAUAACAAGCCAAAAAUGAACUUGAGCACAAUCAAGCUAUUUCAGGCCACAUUACAAGGCGAUCACAUCCCCGCUAAGACUUAACUUUCGCGAUAGAAGCGUAAUAAUCAGCCGCCUGCGAUAAAGGCUGGGUAAUCUGUCAUCGGACAGCAGGGCCAUGGGUUUUCCAAACCGCAGGGGUCCAGGGGCCCUUUAUACUCCACGAGGACGAUCCAUCAUUUAGAAUGCUAACAAGGUGAGGCGUUUUAACAUGAAAGAUAACGUAGGUGCGGCGCUAUCGCCUGCUCUCAGGGACCUUUGCUUUCGCUGGUGGGGAAAUGCUCCCUUAUCUUCAUCUGAGAGAAAACUGACCUUGUGACAGCAAGAGAGCCCUCAAAACAAAGUAUUUCACAGCUAAAGUGACAAACAUCUCUUAGUUAAUUAAUGGAAACAUUUUAGGGCAAGGUCAGUCUAUCAUUUCUGUUAUGACAACAUUAAUUGAAGCAAUUUUACUCUCUGAUGUGACAAGCAAACGAUUAUAUAAGAUAAGAUCCAAGAGACGUACAAAGGCAUAGUCUGAAUCAGAAAAAGGCAGCGUGUAAUUGUUCCUUUCAUCUGUCUUAAUGUUAGUCUGUGUUGCUAAUGAACAACAGAGAGUUCAUGUAAGUUACUUGUUCAACAUUUUUAGCCUGAUAAUCAGACUGAAGUGGUUUGACUUCAUCCGUUGGGUUUUGCCUCCCUAUCAGAACUGUCUGCCUAAAUCAAGAUUACGUUCAAUGUCAGGACUUUGUCAACAUGAUGUCACUGUUUUUCUAAUCCACUAUAAGGAUUGAAAAGGAGGUGGAGGGUUUUGGUCAACAGAAAAGCAAACAUUGGUUCAGGAGUCUGUGCAAGGGUGUGAUCUCUGGACACGUGCACUGCUUCCAGUCGUUCAAUUGGCACUGAACCAAUGUAAAUCUAACUAAAUCCUGGGGGACGUAAUAUUCACAUCCUUUCUACCUAGGCUUUUCGUUUUGACACCCCAAAAUGUUAAGAUGUAAGUGUCUGUCAGUCAUCUGAUGCGGCUGUGUUGCGUUGAGGACAUAGUUUAGUGACGCAGUUUAGGAUGUAGUUCAGUAACAUACAGUACCAGUCAACGGUUUGGACACAUCAAACUUGGUUAGUCCAAACCUUUGACUGGUACUGUAGUCUACUAAUGUAGUAUAUUGACAUGGUUUACUGACAAAGUUUUGUGUCAUAGUUAACUGACAUAGUUUUGCAUUGUAUUUUGAGUGUGCCUCUGCUGACAAGUAUAGAACAAUGCAGCGCACAAUGAGCCCCUAAUAUGGUGGUCCACUGUGGGACACUUUAACCGUUGCGAAGGGGAGGUUUUUAGAAGUUGCUCUGGUCAUCACUGUUUAUCAAGUUAGGUACCACUAAAUUGUUGUUCUUAUUGGGUUCAUCUAGCAGUUUGUAAUGUUUGCUAGGGCUACAGUAUAUGCACGGUUUUGUUUUGAGACAACAUUACUCUACCAAUAUUCAGGCACAAUGACAUAGUGUACCAUAGUGUACUAACAGAAUACUAAAUUAAAGACCCAGCACUGGUCCACUCAAAAUGAAAAGCAAACUAUUGUUGUCGUAGUCUGUAACCUUGACACGGUCUCAUCCACAGCCAUUCUCUUUGUUGUGGCAAUUCAGCUACUUUAUUUUAUACAUUUAGCUGUUUUUGCUCUGGCACCGUUAUAUAACUUCAUCAUUCUUCAUCCUGCCAACAGAGCCGUUCAGUUGUUUGGAAACAGACGACAAUGAGCACAAUAACUGGAGCCCAAAUCAAAAGAUAUGGGCGAUGAUUCUGAGGUUUACUUAUAUCCUCAAAACAUUCCCAGAACGUUACACUUUAGUAAAAAUAUAAGUAAGUACCUAGUCUUAUGCUUUCUAUUCAAAUGUUAUUUGUAUCUGAUGACAUAUAUCUGUAUAUA
Gasterosteus aculeatus aculeatus (three-spined stickleback) is the source of this 23279-nucleotide long non-coding RNA. NCBI's taxonomy places the organism in Eukaryota, Metazoa, Chordata, Actinopteri, Perciformes, Gasterosteidae. The record is from Ensembl.